CAGAGCUCUGAGCUGUUCUCCUGGCCUUGCAGGCGCACACCACCCGCUCCAGCCAGCGGUGCCUGGCCUUUGUGGAUGACGUCCGAUGCUCCAACCCGUCCCUGCCGAUGACCAGGCACUGCCUUACUCGUAUCCUUUCAUCUCAGGCCCAGCUUCCAGGGGUUUGAUCCUCUUUUUUUUUUUUUCCCUUUUUGGCCCUGAAUCAAGGCCGUCGGUUUGCUGUAGCCGUUGGUUUCAAACAGGAGCCCAAAGGAAUUUUCUUCCUGUGGUCCGCUGGCCGAGCCAGAGCAUCUCCGGGGUGCGGCCAGGUCACUUGGAAGUGACAAAGGGACCUCGUGAAGCCCGAGGCAGGCCCGAGCUGGCUGCCAGCUGUGGAAUAGGUUUUCCACUGGGAAGGAAAAUGCAGUGGGAAGCUGGAAAUAACCGGAACCCAACUCCUGGCGGUGGGAGCAGCAUUGUGCGCGCUGCCGUCCCCGCUGCCUGCUGGACCUGGAAACCGGUGCAGACGCCUCUGAAAUGGACGUCUGCAAAUCAAAGUGAGCCCGGGCAUGUGGAAU
Molecule: long non-coding RNA, 557 nt
Filed under: Anas platyrhynchos platyrhynchos (common mallard)
Lineage: Eukaryota; Metazoa; Chordata; Aves; Anseriformes; Anatidae
Source: RNAcentral